Molecule: ribosomal RNA, 476 nt
Filed under: uncultured bacterium
Lineage: Bacteria
Description: partial 16S ribosomal RNA
Rfam family: Bacterial small subunit ribosomal RNA
Source: RNAcentral
UACGAACGCUGGCGGCGUGCUUAACACAUGCAAGUCGAACGGUAAGGCCUUCGGGUACACGAGUGGUGAACGGGUGAGUAACACGUGGGUGAUCUGCCCUGCACUUUGGGAUAAGCCUGGGAAACUGGGUCUAAUACCGAAUAGGACCACGCGCUUCAUGGUGUGUGGUGGAAAGCUUUUGCGGUGUGGGAUGGGCCCGGGGCCUAUCAGCUUGUUGGGGGGGUAAUGGCCUACCAAGGCGACGACGGGUAGCCGGCCUGAGAGGGUGACCGGCCACACUGGGACUGAGAUACGGCCCAGACUCCUACGGGAGGCAGCAGUGGGGAAUAUUGCACAAUGGGCGCAAGCCUGAUGCAGCGACGCCGCGUGAGGGAUGACGGCCUUCGGGUUGUAAACCUCUUUCAGUAGGGACGAAGCGCAAGUGACGGUACCUAUAGAAGAAGGACCGGCCAACUACGUGCCAGCAGCCGCCGUAA